Callorhinchus milii (elephant shark) is the source of this 123-nucleotide non-coding RNA. Lineage: Eukaryota; Metazoa; Chordata; Chondrichthyes; Chimaeriformes; Callorhinchidae. The record is from RefSeq and is a predicted model, not a curated record.
GUGGCCGGAGCCGCUGCUGUAUCAGUGAUUAUUGCAGAGAGACGCGGCCACACACAGUAACUUGGUUCCCGCCGACAGACCCCAUAAAGCCAUUGGGUGUUCUGUGCAAAGGUGUCAGACACA